UACGUAGGGUGCGAGCGUUGUCCGGAAUUAUUGGGCGUAAAGAGCUCGCAGGCGGUGUGUCGCGUCGGCCGUGAAAACCUGGGGCUUAACUCUGGGCGUGCGGUCGAUACGGGCAUCACUGGAGUUCGGCAGGGGAGACUGGAAUUCCUGGUGUAGCGGUGAAAUGCGCAGAUAUCAGGAGGAACACCGGUGGCGAAGGCGGGUCUCUGGGCCGAUACUGACGCUGAGGAGCGAAAGCAUGGGUAGCGAACAGG
This 254-nucleotide ribosomal RNA is filed under the name uncultured bacterium. RNAcentral's name for it is "partial 16S ribosomal RNA". It matches the Rfam family "Bacterial small subunit ribosomal RNA", at positions 524 to 776 of the family's 1533-position model. The record is from RNAcentral.